GUGCUCUCUUUGGCACCACAUACACUAAAAAUUGGAACGAUACAGAGAAGAUUAGCACAGGCCCUGCACAAGGAUGACACCCUAAUUCGUGAAGCAUUCCAUGUUUUU
Molecule: small nuclear RNA, 108 nt
Organism: Trichechus manatus latirostris (Florida manatee)
Lineage: Eukaryota; Metazoa; Chordata; Mammalia; Sirenia; Trichechidae
Source: RefSeq, a predicted model, not a curated record